RNAcentral lists this ribosomal RNA (566 nucleotides) under uncultured Glomeromycotina. RNAcentral describes it as "SSU rRNA". It matches the Rfam family "Eukaryotic small subunit ribosomal RNA", at positions 548 to 1114 of the family's 1831-position model. The record is from RNAcentral. Lineage: Eukaryota; Fungi; Glomeromycota.
UUGGAGGGCAAGUCUGGUGCCAGCAGCCGCGGUAAUUCCAGCUCCAAUAGCGUAUAUUAAAGUUGUUGCAGUUAAAAAGCUCGUAGUUGAAUUUCGGAGUUUGUCGGUUGGUCGGGCUUCACUGUCCGCACUAACCUGAUGGAUUCCUACCUUCUGAAUAACCAGCAUGCUAUUAAGUUAGUGCGUUGGGGAAGCAGAGCUAUUACCUUGAAAAAAUUAGAGUGUUUAAAGCAAGCUAACGCUUGAAUACAUUAGCAUGGAAUAAUGAAAUAGGACGUUCGAUCCUAUUUUGUUGGUUUCUAGGAUUGACGUAAUGAUUAAUAGGGAUAGUUGGGGGCAUUAGUAUUCAAUUGUCAGAGGUGAAAUUCUUGGAUUUAUUGAAGACUAACUACUGCGAAAGCAUUUGCCAAGGAUAUUUUCAUUAAUCAAGGACGAAAGUUAGGGGAUCGAAGACGAUCAGAUACCGUCGUAGUCUUAACCAUAAACUAUGCCGACUAGGAAUCAGACGAUGUUAAUUUUUUAAUGACUCGUUUGGCACCUUACGGGAAACCAAAGUGUUUGGGUUC